UUGAUUUGAAGAAGAAAAGAUCUACACGUCAUGCAUGAGCAAUCUGUGGGAGGAAAUGAAUAAUGAUUAGGCCUGUAUGCUGAUUUGUAUCUGGAUCAGUUACCAGGGAUGGUGGAAUGGACCUGCUCCACAGACAGGAAAGGCAGGCUCAAACAAUAAGACAAACCCUCAAAUAAGCAGGAUGAGUUAAGAAGAAAGCAAAGUAAACAGUGUGUUCCAGAGGUGUCCCUUUGUCAGCCAUCAGCAGGAGACAACCAGCUGCUAAAUAAACUUAGAUUCCCCCCUUAUAUUCUUCAUGGACUCACAAGAAAAAGAGUGCAACAGACUAUUAAAGCAGCAAAGAGCAGAGUCAGCACCAACAGCUGAGUUAGGCAACUUAGCAGGUAAAAAGUGAAGGACAGGACACUAAUGAAAGUAAGACAAUUAGAAGUGAAGGAGGAAAUGUGAGAACAAUCUUUGGAAAGUGGAAAUAAAGCUACUGGAAAAAGAAAUUUCAUAUGAUAUUCCUAUGAAUAUUUACAUCCCAAGAAAUAAAAAGAGAAAAAACACAAGUCCUUUUCCUUAUUUAGGGGGAUUGGAGUCUGAACUACAAGGAGCUGGA
Non-coding RNA from Microcebus murinus (gray mouse lemur), 601 nucleotides. Lineage: Eukaryota; Metazoa; Chordata; Mammalia; Primates; Cheirogaleidae. The record is from RefSeq and is a predicted model, not a curated record.